UGCCAGACUCCUACGGGAGGCAGCAGUGAGGAAUAUUGGUCAAUGGACGGAAGUCUGAACCAGCCAUGCCGCGUGCAGGAAGACGGCUCUAUGAGUUGUAAACUGCUUUUGUACAAGGGUAAACCUGAAUACGUGUAUUCAGCUGAAAGUACGGUACGAAUAAGGAUCGGCUAACUCCGUGCCAGCAGCCGCGGUAAUACGGAGGAUCCGAGCGUUAUCCGGAUUCAUUGGGUUUAAAGGGUGCGUAGGUUGUUUUAUAAGUUAGCGGUGAAAUACCGAUGCUCAACAUCGGGGCUGCCGCUAAUACUGUAGGACUAGAGAUCGGAUGCAGCAGGCGGAAUGUGUAGUGUAGCGGUGAAAUGCAUAGAUAUUACACAGAACACCGAUUGCGAAGGCAGCUUGCUAGGCCGGAUCUGACACUGAUGCACGAAAGCGUGGGGAUCGAACAGGAUUAGAUACCCUUGUA
Molecule: ribosomal RNA, 466 nt
Filed under: uncultured bacterium
Lineage: Bacteria
Description: bacterial SSU rRNA
Rfam family: Bacterial small subunit ribosomal RNA
Source: RNAcentral